GCCUUCGUGGCUUAGCGGUAUAGCGAUUGAUUCGUAAUCAAUAGGUCGAGGGUUCAAGUCCCUCCGGAGGCU
RNAcentral lists this transfer RNA (72 nucleotides) under Promethearchaeota archaeon. RNAcentral's name for it is "Candidatus Lokiarchaeota archaeon tRNA-Thr". It matches the Rfam family "tRNA". Rfam says of the family: Transfer RNA (tRNA) molecules are approximately 80 nucleotides in length. Their secondary structure includes four short double-helical elements and three loops (D, anti-codon, and T loops). Further hydrogen bonds mediate the characteristic L-shaped molecular structure. tRNAs have two regions of fundamental functional importance: the anti-codon, which is responsible for specific mRNA codon recognition, and the 3' end, to which the tRNAs corresponding amino acid is attached (by aminoacyl-tRNA synthetases). tRNAs cope with the degeneracy of the genetic code in two manners: having more than one tRNA (with a specific anti-codon) for a particular amino acid; and 'wobble' base-pairing, i.e. permitting non-standard base-pairing at the 3rd anti-codon position. The record is from RNAcentral. Lineage: Archaea; Promethearchaeati; Promethearchaeota.